GGGAUUGCCCCAGUAACGGCGAGUGAAGCGGCAACAGCUCAAAUUUGAAAUCUGGCCCCCCCCGGGGGGCCCGAGUUGUAAUUUGCAGAGGAUGCUUUGGGCGAGGCGCCUUCCGAGUUCCCUGGAACGGGACGCCACAGAGGGUGAGAGCCCCGUCUGGUCGGACGCCGAGCCUCUGUAAAGCUCCUUCGACGAGUCGAGUAGUUUGGGAAUGCUGCUCAAAAUGGGAGGUAUAUGUCUUCUAAAGCUAAAUACCGGCCAGAGACCGAUAGCGCACAAGUAGAGUGAUCGAAAGAUGAAAAGCACCUUGAAAAGGGGGUUAAACAGUACGUGAAAUUGUUGAAAGGGAAGCGCUCGUGACCAGACUUGGGGCGGGCGGAUCAGCCGGCGUUCUCGCCGGNGCACUCCGCCCGUCCCAGGCCAGCAUCAGUUCGCGCCGGGGGACAAAGGCGGCGGGAACGUGGCUCCCCAGGGAGUGUUAUAGCCCGCCGCGCCAUGCCCCGGGGGCGGACUGAGGGCCGCGCAUCACUGCAAGGAUGCUGGCGUAAUGGUCACCAGCGACCCGUCUUGAAACACGGGCCAAGGAGUCGUCCUCGUAUGCGAGUGUUCGGGUGUCAAACCCCU
This 624-nucleotide ribosomal RNA is filed under the name Moelleriella libera. Its description in RNAcentral is "eukaryotic LSU rRNA". It matches the Rfam family "Eukaryotic large subunit ribosomal RNA", at positions 71 to 711 of the family's 3401-position model. Lineage: Eukaryota; Fungi; Ascomycota; Sordariomycetes; Hypocreales; Clavicipitaceae. The record is from RNAcentral.